CAUUGUGACGUCACGUAAAAUAAGCUGACGACACCUUUUUACUAAUCGCUUCAAAAUGAAUUUUAUAGGAAUAGCGUAGCUUAUUUAAAGUGAUUUGUGUUUAAAUCAAGACUAAAGACAAAAUUAAAACGUGUAUUUGUGAUAUUUCGUGUUAGUGCGAAGAAAUUUAUUAUAAGUUCGUGACAGCGAGUGAUGAAGGCAGGAGAAAAUGGCGAUGUUCGAACGCAUGUUGAUAACCAGAAAACAUUUAGUAAUAGCUGAUAAAUUCAACCUCGUCCGCAAAAUUGGCGGCGGGAGCUUUGGAGACAUCUUCUUGGCGAUAUGCAUUUCAGACGGAGAGGAGGUAGCAGUUAAGGUGGAGAGCAUAAAGGCUCGGCACCCACAGCUGUUAUAUGAGAGUAGAGUGUAUAAGAUGCUCCAAGGCGGUGUUGGAAUACCACAUAUAAGAUGGUUUGGAUUCGAACGGGACCACAACAUUCUGGUGAUGGACUUACUGGGUCCCUCACUUGAGGAUCUCUUUAACUUCUGCUCACGGCAGUUUACUAUCAAGACUGUACUCAUGUUAGCAGAUCAAAUGCUGGGUCGCGUAGAGUUCAUCCACUGCAAGUGUUUUAUUCACCGCGACAUAAAGCCGGACAACUUUCUUAUGGGCAUCGGACGUCACUGCAACAAGCUCUAUAUGAUCGACUUCGGUCUUGCUAAGAAAUACCGGGAUCUGCGCACACGCUCUCACAUUUCAUACCGCGAGGAUAAGAACCUCACCGGUACUGCUCGGUACGCAUCAAUCAACGCGCAUCUUGGCAUUGAGCAGUCGCGGCGGGAUGACAUGGAGUCGCUUGGCUACGUCCUUAUGUACUUUAAUAGGGGAUCGCUGCCGUGGCAAGGUCUAAAGGCCAUCACCAAGAAGCAGAAGUACGAACGUAUCAGUGAGAAGAAGAUGUCUACCCCCGUCGAGGUGCUUUGUAAGGGCUUCCCAGCGGAGUUCGCGAUGUACUUGAACUACUGCCGCGGUCUCACCUUCGAGGAGUCUCCCGACUAUAUGUAUUUGAGACAGUUGUUCCGUAUCCUGUUCCGCACGAUGAGCUACCAGUAUGACUACACGUUCGACUGGACCGUCUUGCGCCAGCGCAAGCAGCACAAUGAGUCUGCUACUCUCGGGGCAGCCGCUGGCGCAGCGCCCGACCGACGCUCGCCCUCUGUGCAGCGACGCCAGCCAGCGCCGCAUCCACAGCCGCCGCCCAUUAGCGAUGUAAAAUAAGUCAUUUAGAAAAAUUAAACCGACCUCGAAAGACCUGGCAACAUUAUUUAUAUAGUGAAAGAGAUUAGAACGUUCGGCAGCGGCAGGCGGCCCGGCGAGGAAGCGAGCGCGAUAGCGUCUUGCGACGUGUGUCAGUUGUCAGCUGUCACGUGGUGUGACGUGGCCGUGUGUACGCUGCCGGCGUAGUGCUGCGGCGAUGCGACGAUACCGGCUACGACUAUUGAAGUGCGCAUUAUAGUGUUGCGUAACGAGCCGUUAGCUACAAUUGGCAAAAUUUGACCAGUGCAGUAUUACUGCUUCUGAUUUCUAAAUAAAUCCUAACGACCUUUGUAAAUCGCGGUUAAAUGUUUGUUACCAUGGUUACGAUUCCUAUGAAAAGAAUAGCCACCAUGUUAACUAAUACCGUACUAACGUACACCCCCGAAUUCAAUUGAGUCGUAAAAUUUAACAGUCUCCCUGAACAUAGCGCUAUGUCGGGCAAGUCAUAUUUGAACUAGUGAUGCGCAAUAACUAUUGGAUCGACUGGUUUUGAUUCCCAAAUCGUCAGUGCCUAUAAUGGCCAAUCUGUAGCUAACGGCCGUCUAGUUCUAGUGACGAACGCGUGGUGAUCGUGCCCUUAGGAACACGAGUGGAUUUGUGCGGCAAUAACCGCCAAUGAACACUAUUAUUUUUUAUUGAGGCCUUUAAUUUAAAUAGUAUAGUGAUUACAGUCCCGUAUUUAGCUUCAGUGAUUAACCAACCUGUCCAUGAAUAUUUCUUAUGUUUUUUUGUAACAUUUAUUAUUUAGAAACUUAUUAGUCCAUCGAUUUUUAUAUUCAUUGACAUGUAUAAACGUUGUGCCCCUAUUCUCACGAGCGCACGACUCGCUUUUGGACUGAACGCAAAAACAAUGUCGUGUGACUAACGUGCGGCGGGGGGCUAUUAAUUAAUUGAUAGUUCGAUAAUUCUUGAAUGUUAGUUUUAUCCUUAUUAGCUAGUGUUUAUUGAAUUUUAGUACGUGGUAACGGUCGCGAGCGAUUAUGAUACUGUAAUUAACAAAUUUUAAUGUAAAUAAAAAAAUAGGAAUAUUCAUUUAUAGAUGCCUAACGAGAUGGGCUUGUAAAAUACUUGGGCUACUUAAAGUACUGUCAUAUCGAGCAGCGCCUACGUUUGACUUGUGGAUAAAUACGUGUGUGCUCGCGGGCGAUAUCAAAUUCGGAUUGUUUCAGACAACUGUUAAACACCAAUGUAAUGUGACAAUCUCAAUGUUUUGCUUCUCUCACAUCUCAACUCCAAAUGAGAUUGCGAAAAAUGAGGUGUUCGCUGAAUGCACUAGAUGGAUAUCGAAAGGUUAUUAACUAAUAAUAUAAUAGGUUUCUUGUAUUAAAAUGCGAAAAAUUGUAAAAAAAAAACAAAAAAAUAGCAUAGGACUUAAGAGAAUAUGCCGGCGCGUCCCGUAACAUGUAGGCUCAUUAUUUUUUCACACUUUCGUUAACAUUGCAUAUAUGUAGGACGCGACGGACUUCGGUACAAUUGUAUCGUAUAUUUUAACUGCAGGAGUUUUGUAAAUACAAGAGUGUUUUAACUUUUAUUUUUAAUAGUGUGUUUGUGUCGGCUAAUGGAUGCGCACGAGUCAAUGUACGUGUGGUAUCUACGUCACUGCCGACAAGUGGUCUCGCUUAAACGGCUGGUUUUCACCACAAUUUUUUUUGAUAGCCCUAUACAAAUGUGUUAUGGUCUUUAGAAAAAGCAUACAAUAUUAAAUAAAGAACCCAACCGACGUAUAAGCGAGUCUCGACUGAUGCUGGAUUAAUGAAUAAUUAAUCAAAUUAUAUUCAAUUCAUUGAUUAAUACAGCAGUAUUACAUUUUUAGUUUGAGUGGUUAACGGAGACAAAGAGAGCCCAUACAAUGACUGGAAUCUGUGACCAAUUUCAUUUCAUCUCGUGAUAAUACGGAUCUCACUAUUCCUGAUGUUGAAAAUAAGUUACUUCAUGCUGAAUUUGAAAGUCGAAUUGUCUCCCAUGUUUAAUGUACUGCACUUAAUAAAUUAAAUAACUAUAAACAUA
This is an RNA transcript of Pieris brassicae (large cabbage white), 3304 nucleotides long. It is a transcript of the gene named casein kinase I-like, with no coding region annotated. The transcript is spliced from 9 exons. The record is from RefSeq and is a predicted model, not a curated record. NCBI's taxonomy places the organism in Eukaryota, Metazoa, Arthropoda, Insecta, Lepidoptera, Pieridae.